AACGAACGCUGGCGGCAGGCUUAACACAUGCAAGUCGAACGCCCCGCAAGGGGAGUGGCAGACGGGUGAGUAACGCGUGGGAACAUACCCUUUUCUACGGAAUAGCUCUGGGAGACUGGAAUUAAUACCGUAUACGCCCUACGGGGGAAAGAUUUAUCGGGGAAGGAUUGGCCCGCGUUGGAUUAGCUAGUUGGUGGGGUAAAGGCCUACCAAGGCGACGAUCCAUAGCUGGUCUGAGAGGAUGAUCAGCCACAUUGGGACUGAGACACGGCCCAAACUCCUACGGGAGGCAGCAGUGGGGAAUAUUGGACAAUGGGCGCAAGCCUGAUCCAGCCAUGCCGCGUGAGUGAUGAAGGCCUUAGGGUUGUAAAGCUCUUUCACCGAUGAAGAUAAUGACAGUAGUCGGAGAAGAAGCCCCGGCUAACUUCGUG
RNAcentral lists this ribosomal RNA (431 nucleotides) under uncultured bacterium. Its description in RNAcentral is "partial 16S ribosomal RNA". It matches the Rfam family "Bacterial small subunit ribosomal RNA", at positions 29 to 507 of the family's 1533-position model. The record is from RNAcentral.